Molecule: ribosomal RNA, 464 nt
Filed under: uncultured bacterium
Lineage: Bacteria
Description: partial 16S ribosomal RNA
Rfam family: Bacterial small subunit ribosomal RNA
Source: RNAcentral
CUACGGGACGCACCAGUGGGGAAUAUUGCACAAUGGGCGCAAGCCUGAUGCAGCCAUGCCGCGUGUAUGAAGAAGGCCUUCGGGUUGUAAAGUACUUUCAGCGGGGAGGAAGGGAGUAAAGUUAAUACCUUUGCUCAUUGACGUUACCCGCAGAAGAAGCACCGGCUAACUCCGUGCCAGCAGCCGCGGUAAUACGGAGGGUGCAAGCGUUAAUCGGAAUUACUGGGCGUAAAGCGCACGCAGGCGGUUUGUUAAGUCAGAUGUGAAAUCCCCGGGCUCAACCUGGGAACUGCAUCUGAUACUGGCAAGCUUGAGUCUCGUAGAGGGGGGUAGAAUUCCAGGUGUAGCGGUGAAAUGCGUAGAGAUCUGGAGGAAUACCGGUGGCGAAGGCGGCCCCCUGGACGAAGACUGACGCUCAGGUGCGAAAGCGUGGGGAGCAAACAGGAUUAGAUACCCGGGUAGUC